Myotis lucifugus (little brown bat) is the source of this 576-nucleotide RNA transcript. It is a transcript of the gene named ATP synthase subunit d, mitochondrial pseudogene, with no coding region annotated. Lineage: Eukaryota; Metazoa; Chordata; Mammalia; Chiroptera; Vespertilionidae. The transcript has a single exon. The record is from RefSeq and is a predicted model, not a curated record.
GUGAAGGAUCUCAAGAUGGCUGGGUGAAAACUUGCUCUAAAAACCAUUGCCUGGGUAGCUUUUGGGGAGAUCAUACCCCGAAACCAGAAGGCCAUUGCUAACACCCUGAAAUCCUGGAAUGAGACCCUCACCUCCAGGUUGGCUACUCUACCUGAGAAACCACCUGCUAUCGACUGGGCUUACUACAAGGCCAAUGUGGCGAAGGCCGGCUUAGUAGAUGACUUUGAGAAGAAGUUUUAUGCCCUGAAGGUUUCUGUGCCAGAGGAUAAGUACAGUGCCCUGGUGGAUGCUGAAGAAAAAGAAGAUGUGAAAAGUUGUGCUGAGUUUGUGUCUCUCUCAAAGACCAGGAUUGAGCAAUACGAGAAAGAGCUGGAGAAGAUGAAGAACAUAAUUCCAUUUGACCAGAUGACCAUCGAGUAUUUGAAUGAAGUCUUCCCAGAAACCAAAUUAGACAAAAAGAAGUAACCUUACUGGCCUCACAAGCCAAUUGAGAAUUUAUAAACUUGAGUCUGAGAGGAACUCUGCUCCUUGUAUUUUAAACUCUGGACAUUAAAAAUAAUCAGAUGGUAAAAAAAA